GCCUGGCUGGCUCAGUCGGUAGAGCAUGUGACUCUUGAUCUCAGGGUCAUGAGUUCAAGCCCCACAUUGGGUG
RNAcentral lists this transfer RNA (73 nucleotides) under Canis lupus familiaris (dog). It matches the Rfam family "tRNA". From Rfam's summary of the family: Transfer RNA (tRNA) molecules are approximately 80 nucleotides in length. Their secondary structure includes four short double-helical elements and three loops (D, anti-codon, and T loops). RNAcentral also lists the same sequence under 2 other names. The record is from Rfam by way of RNAcentral. Lineage: Eukaryota; Metazoa; Chordata; Mammalia; Carnivora; Canidae.